GGCACCAUGGGUUAGCUGGUUAAAGUUCCUGUUUUGUAAACAGGAGAUCCUGGGUUCAACUCCCAGUGAUGCCU
Non-coding RNA from Gopherus evgoodei (Goodes thornscrub tortoise), 74 nucleotides. The record is from the annotation of a RefSeq genome assembly. NCBI's taxonomy places the organism in Eukaryota, Metazoa, Chordata, Testudines, Testudinidae.